RNAcentral lists this ribosomal RNA (253 nucleotides) under uncultured bacterium. Its description in RNAcentral is "partial 16S ribosomal RNA". It matches the Rfam family "Bacterial small subunit ribosomal RNA", at positions 524 to 776 of the family's 1533-position model. The record is from RNAcentral.
UACGGAGGAUGCAAGCGUUAUCCGGAAUGAUUGGGCGUAAAGCGUCCGCAGGUGGCUGUGUAAGUCUGCUGUUAAAGAGUGAGGCUUAACCUCAUAAAGGCAGUGGAAACUACAUGGCUAGAGUGCGUUCGGGGCAGAGGGAAUUCCUGGUGUAGCGGUGAAAUGCGUAGAGAUCAGGAAGAACACCGGUGGCGAAAGCGCUCUGCUAGGCCGCAACUGACACUGAGGGACGAAAGCUAGGGGAGCGAAUGGG